RNAcentral lists this ribosomal RNA (719 nucleotides) under uncultured anaerobic ammonium-oxidizing bacterium. RNAcentral's name for it is "bacterial SSU rRNA". It matches the Rfam family "Bacterial small subunit ribosomal RNA", at positions 565 to 1274 of the family's 1533-position model. The record is from RNAcentral.
GAGCACGUAGGUGGGUUUGUAAGUCAGGUGUGAAAGCCUUCUGUUCAAAGGAAGAACGGCAUCUGAAACUGCAGAUCUUGAGUUUAGGAGGGGAGAGUGGAACUUCUGGUGGAGCGGUGAAAUGCGUAGAUAUCAGAAGGAACGUCGGCGGCGAAAGCGACUCUCUGGCCUAAUACUGACACUGAGGUGCGAAAGUUAGGGGAGCAAACGGGAUUAGAUACCCCGGUAGUCCUAACCGUAAACGAUGGGCACUAAGUAGAGGGAAUUACCAAUGUUCUCUCUGCCGUAGCUAACGCAUUAAGUGCCCCGCCUGGGGAGUACGGCCGCAAGGCUAAAACUCAAAAGAAUUGACGGGGGCUCGCACAAGCGGUGGAGCAUGUGGCUUAAUUCGAUGCAACGCGAAAAACCUUACCGGGGUUUGACAUGAUAGAAGUAGGAGCCUGAAAGGGUAACCAACGGUAUCCAGUCCGUAACUAUUACAGGUGUUGCAUGGCUGUCGUCAGCUCGUGUCGUGAGACGUUGGGUUAAGUCCCCUAACGAGCGAAACCCUUGUUUUUAGUUACCAUCGGGUAGUGCCGGGUACUCUAAAAAGACUGCCGUCGUCAAGACGGAGGAAGGUGGGGAUGACGUCAAGUCAUCAUGGCCCUUAUACCCCGGGCUGCACACGUGCUACAAUGGUCGGUACAAAAGGAAGCAAGACCGAGAGGUGAAGCGAAUCC